RNAcentral lists this ribosomal RNA (564 nucleotides) under Peltophryne empusa (Cuban small-eared toad). Its description in RNAcentral is "Peltophryne empua (Cuban small-eared toad) partial 16S ribosomal RNA". It matches the Rfam family "Bacterial large subunit ribosomal RNA", at positions 1819 to 2597 of the family's 2925-position model. The record is from RNAcentral. Lineage: Eukaryota; Metazoa; Chordata; Amphibia; Anura; Bufonidae.
CGCCUCUUGAAUUAAUAUAAGAGGUCCAGCCUGCCCAGUGACCCUGUUCAACGGCCGCGGUAUCCUAACCGUGCGAAGGUAGCGUAAUCACUUGUUCUUUAAAUGAGGACUAGUAUGAACGGCAUCACGAAGGUUAUACUGUCUCCUUUUUCCAAUCAGUGAACCUAAUCUCCCCGUGAAGAAGCGGGGAUGUAAUUAUAAGACGAGAAGACCCUAUGGAGCUUAAAACAACACAGCACUUGCUAAAAAAUUAAACAAUUUCAGAAUUUUCCUUUUCUAAGCAACAUGACUGUAAGUUUUUGGUUGGGGUGACCACGGAGUAUAAUAUAACCUCCAUGUUGGAAGAAUUUUAUUCUAAGCCAAAAAUUACAUUUUUAAGCAUCAAUAAAUUGACAUCUAUUGACCCAAUAUAUUUGAACAACGAACCAAGUUACCCUAGGGAUAACAGCGCAAUCCACUUCAAGAGCUCCUAUCGACAAGUGGGUUUACGACCUCGAUGUUGGAUCAGGGUAUCCCAGUGGUGCAGCCGCUACUAAAGUUCGUUUGUUCAACGAUUAAAACCCU